RNAcentral lists this ribosomal RNA (305 nucleotides) under uncultured bacterium. RNAcentral describes it as "bacterial SSU rRNA". It matches the Rfam family "Bacterial small subunit ribosomal RNA", at positions 334 to 636 of the family's 1533-position model. The record is from RNAcentral.
UGGCCCUACGGGGGGCAGCAGUGAGGAAUAUUGGUCAAUGGGCGGGAGCCUGAACCAGCCAAGUCGCGUGAGGGAAGACGGUCCUAUGGAUUGUAAACCUCUUUUGUCGGGGAGCAAAGAGAUCACGUGUGGUCAAAAGCGAGAGUACCCGAAGAAAAAGCAUCGGCUAACUCCGUGCCAGCAGCCGCGGUAAUACGGAGGAUGCGAGCGUUAUCCGGAUUUAUUGGGUUUAAAGGGUGCGCAGGCGGCACGGCAAGCCGGCGGUCAAAUCGCGGGGCUCAACCCCGCCCAGCCGUCGGAACUGC